UAUCUAUGGUUACCACGUAGUUUUAUAUCAGUGGCGUAAGGGACGGAUGCAUGAUGGGCUCAGUGUUUUACUGUCGCUGCCGAACAUUUUCGUCGUCAGCGGCCGUUCUGAAGAGGAUUCCAAAUGAUCUUAAAGGCAGAGGCAAAAGUUCACAGGAAUGGCUCAUUCGACAAAUGAACGACCCAUAUGUGAAAAAGGCCAAGCUGGAGAACUACAGGGCCCGCUCGGCGUACAAGCUGCUGGAGAUUGCCGGCCGCGUGGAGCUGAUGAGGCCCGGAGGCGUGGUGGUGGAGUGCGGCGCCG
Molecule: long non-coding RNA, 303 nt
Organism: Pollicipes pollicipes
Lineage: Eukaryota; Metazoa; Arthropoda; Thecostraca; Pollicipedomorpha; Pollicipedidae
Exons: 3
Source: RefSeq, a predicted model, not a curated record